ACGAGCGCAACCCCUAUCGUUAGUUGCUAGCANGUAAUGCUGAGGACUCUAACGAGACUGCCGGUGUAAACCGNGAGGAAGGUGGGGAUGACGUCAAAUCANCACGGCCCUUAUGNUCUGGGCUACACACGUGUUACAAUGGAUGGUACAAAGAGCAGCUACCUAGUGAUAGGAUGCGAAUCUUCAAAGCCUUUCCCAGUUCGGAUUGGAGUCUGCAACUCGACUCCNUGAAGUUGGAUUCGCUAGUAAUCGNANAUCANCNACGCUNCGGUGAAUACGUUCCCGGGCCUUGCACACACCGCCCGU
RNAcentral lists this ribosomal RNA (306 nucleotides) under uncultured bacterium. Its description in RNAcentral is "partial 16S ribosomal RNA". It matches the Rfam family "Bacterial small subunit ribosomal RNA", at positions 1092 to 1397 of the family's 1533-position model. The record is from RNAcentral.